GAUGAAGAACGCAGCGAAAUGCGAAAAGUAAUGUGAAUUGCAGAAUUCAGUGAACCAUCGAAUCUUUGAACGCACAUUGCGCCCGCUGGAACUCCGGCGGGCACGCCUGUCCGAGCGUCAUUUCAACCCUCAGGCCCCCCUUCGUGGGCGGGCCUGGUGUUGGGGCCCGGCCGCUACCCUGCGGCCGUCCCCUAAAUUCAGUGGCGGCCUCGCCGUGAUCCCUUGCGUAGUAAUGCACCUCGCACCGGAGAGCGCCGUGGCCACGCCGUAAAACCCCCAAUUUUCAAUGGUUGACCUCGGAUCAGGUGGGAAUACCCGCUGAACUUAAGCAUAUCAAUAAGCGGAGGA
This 348-nucleotide unclassified non-coding RNA is filed under the name soil metagenome. RNAcentral's name for it is "partial contains 5.8S ribosomal RNA, internal transcribed spacer 2, and large subunit ribosomal RNA". The stretch from base 1 to 120 matches the Rfam family "5.8S ribosomal RNA", at positions 35 to 154 of the family's 154-position model. The record is from RNAcentral.